This 253-nucleotide ribosomal RNA is filed under the name uncultured bacterium. RNAcentral describes it as "partial 16S ribosomal RNA". It matches the Rfam family "Bacterial small subunit ribosomal RNA", at positions 524 to 776 of the family's 1533-position model. The record is from RNAcentral.
UACAGAGGGGGCAAGCGUUAUUCGGAAUUAUUGGGCGUAAAGGGCGCGUAGGCGGCUUGGCAAGUGGAUGGUGAAAUCCCUCGGCUUAACCGAGGAACUGCCGUCCAAACUGCUUCGCUUGAGACCGGGAGAGGUGAGUGGAAUUCCCAGUGUAGCGGUGAAAUGCGUAGAUGUUGGGAGGAACACCAGUGGCGAAGGCGGCUCACUGGACCGGUACUGACGCUGAUGCGCGAAAGCGUGGGGAGCAAACGGG